CAUCAAAUAAGCCCACAGACAAACUCCGUGCCCUGCCUCUGUGGUUGUCUUUACAAUACUUGGGACUUGAUGGGAUUGUGGAGAGGAUCAAGCAUGCCUGUCAACUGAGUCAACGGUUGCAGGAAAGUUUGAAGAAAGUGAAUUACAUCAAAAUCUUGGUGGAAGAUGAGCUCAGCUCCCCAGUGGUGGUGUUCAGAUUUUUCCAGGAAUUACCAGGCUCAGAUCCGGUGUUUAAAGCCGUCCCAGUGCCCAACAUGACACCUUCAGCAGUCGGCCGGGAGAGGCACUCGUGUGACGCGCUGAAUCGCUGGCUGGGAGAACAGCUGAAGCAGCUGGUGCCUGCGAGCGGCCUCACAGUCAUGGAUCUGGAAACUGAGGGCACAUGUUUGCGGUUCAGCCCUUUGAUGACCGCAGCAG
RNAcentral lists this small RNA (417 nucleotides) under Pongo abelii (Sumatran orangutan). RNAcentral describes it as "processed transcript". The record is from RNAcentral. Lineage: Eukaryota; Metazoa; Chordata; Mammalia; Primates; Hominidae.